Molecule: ribosomal RNA, 253 nt
Filed under: uncultured bacterium
Lineage: Bacteria
Description: partial 16S ribosomal RNA
Rfam family: Bacterial small subunit ribosomal RNA
Source: RNAcentral
UACGAAGGGGGCUAGCGUUGUUCGGAAUCACUGGGCGUAAAGCGCACGUAGGCGGACUGUUAAGUCAGGGGUGAAAUCCUGGGGCUCAACCCCAGAACUGCCUUUGAUACUGGCGGUCUUGAGUGUGGAAGAGGUUGGUGGAACUCCGAGUGUAGAGGUGAAAUUCGUAGAUAUUCGGAAGAACACCAGUGGCGAAGGCGGCUAACUGGUCCACUACUGACGCUGAGGUGCGAAAGCGUGGGGAGCAAACAGG